ACAUAAGUGCAGCUCAUUCCCAAGAGGGGUGACGCACCCAGUCAUCUUCAAAGUGCAUGUCUCCUGAAUUAUAUUUUGUUUUAGUUUUGGUGUAUUUGCUGCACAGGUUCAGGAACAUCAAUCUGGGUUCUGCUGCAGACCAAAGGGUCAGACAGAAAUUGACCUCCACGUGUACUCUUCUCUUCAACAUGGUGAUGUUUGUGUCUAUGAAACCAUGAGAGGCUCUGAAGAUGUUCGGAAUGGGGGACCUGGAAGUCCGUACCAGAACAUUCAAUUGCACUGACCCCAAAUCAGGUUCAAACUCUUGACAGAAGCAAAAAACACGAGGAUCCAUCAGCGAGCUCCGACUGCUACAGUAUCAGUCAAGAACCAGCCACAAACACUGUGUGAUCCAUCAGAGACACUCAACGACCGGAUGGAAACCAAUAAAAAG
This is a long non-coding RNA of Thalassophryne amazonica, 433 nucleotides long. RefSeq lists it as uncharacterized. Lineage: Eukaryota; Metazoa; Chordata; Actinopteri; Batrachoidiformes; Batrachoididae. The transcript has 4 exons. The record is from RefSeq and is a predicted model, not a curated record.